This 635-nucleotide ribosomal RNA is filed under the name Bacillus aerius. RNAcentral's name for it is "bacterial SSU rRNA". Lineage: Bacteria; Bacillati; Bacillota; Bacilli; Caryophanales; Bacillaceae. The record is from RNAcentral.
GCCAUAAUACAUGCAAGUCGAGCGGACAGAGAGCUUGCUCCCGGAUGUUAGCGGCGGACGGGUGAGUAACACGUGGGUAACCUGCCUGUAAGACUGGGAUAACUCCGGGAAACCGGAGCUAAUACCGGAUAGUUCCUUGAACCGCAUGGUUCAAGGAUGAAAGACGGUUUCGGCUGUCACUUACAGAUGGACCCGCGGCGCAUUAGCUAGUUGGUGGGGUAAUGGCUCACCAAGGCGACGAUGCGUAGCCGACCUGAGAGGGUGAUCGGCCACACUGGGACUGAGACACGGCCCAGACUCCUACGGGAGGCAGCAGUAGGGAAUCUUCCGCAAUGGACGAAAGUCUGACGGAGCAACGCCGCGUGAGUGAUGAAGGUUUUCGGAUCGUAAAGCUCUGUUGUUAGGGAAGAACAAGUGCGAGAGUAACUGCUCGCACCUUGACGGUACCUAACCAGAAAGCCACGGCUAACUACGUGCCAGCAGCCGCGGUAAUACGUAGGUGGCAAGCGUUGUCCGGAAUUAUUGGGCGUAAAGGGCUCGCAGGCGGUUCUUAAGUCUGAUGUGAAAGCCCCGGCUCAACCGGGAGGUCAUGAAACUGGGAACUGAUGCAGAGAGGAGUGAUCMUGUACGUGAUG